RNAcentral lists this ribosomal RNA (250 nucleotides) under uncultured bacterium. RNAcentral's name for it is "partial 16S ribosomal RNA". It matches the Rfam family "Bacterial small subunit ribosomal RNA", at positions 524 to 773 of the family's 1533-position model. The record is from RNAcentral.
GACGGAGGGGGCAAGCGUUGUCCGGAAUUACUGGGCGUAAAGCGCUCGUAGGCGGUGUCAUACGGCGGUGGUGAAAGCUCCCGGCUCAACUGGGAGAGGCCCGCCGCAACGGUGGCACUUGAGGGUGGUAGAGGCAGAUGGAAUUCCUGGUGUAGCGGUGAAAUGCGUAGAGAUCAGGAGGAACACCCGUGGCGAAGGCGGUCUGCUGGGCCACACCUGACGCUGAGGAGCGAAAGCCAGGGGAGCGAAC